Molecule: ribosomal RNA, 259 nt
Filed under: uncultured Methanolinea sp.
Lineage: Archaea; Methanobacteriati; Methanobacteriota; Methanomicrobia; Methanomicrobiales; Methanoregulaceae
Description: partial 16S ribosomal RNA
Rfam family: Archaeal small subunit ribosomal RNA
Source: RNAcentral
UGAUGGGGGACACUGUUGGGACCGCCUCUGCUAAAGAGGAGGAAGGAAUGGGCAACGGUAGGUCAGCAUGCCCCGAAUUAUCCGGGCUACACGCGGGCGUACAAUGGUCAGGGACAAUGGGUAUCGACACCGAGAGGUGGAGGCAAUCUCCUAAACCUGUCCUUAGUUCGGAUUGGUGGGCUGCAACUCCGCCCACAUGAAGCUGGAAUCCGUAGUAAUCGUGUCUCAAAAUGGCACGGUGAAUAUGUCCCUGCUCCUU